RNAcentral lists this ribosomal RNA (423 nucleotides) under Ruegeria sp. EF2B-B203. RNAcentral's name for it is "bacterial SSU rRNA". It matches the Rfam family "Bacterial small subunit ribosomal RNA", at positions 1 to 457 of the family's 1533-position model. Lineage: Bacteria; Pseudomonadati; Pseudomonadota; Alphaproteobacteria; Rhodobacterales; Roseobacteraceae. The record is from RNAcentral.
UAGAGUUUGAUCCUGGCUCAGAACGAACGCUGGCGGCAGGCCUAACACAUGCAAGUCGAGCGCGCCUUCGGGUGAGCGGCGGACGGGUUAGUAACGCGUGGGAAUAUGCCCUUUGGUACGGAAUAGCCUCUGGAAACGGAGAGUAAUACCGUAUGAGCCCUUCGGGGGAAAGAUUUAUCGCCAAAGGAUUAGCCCGCGUUAGAUUAGGUAGUUGGUGGGGUAAUGGCCUACCAAGCCUACGAUCUAUAGCUGGUUUUAGAGGAUGAUCAGCAACACUGGGACUGAGACACGGCCCAGACUCCUACGGGAGGCAGCAUGUGGGGAAUCUUGGACAAUGGGGGCAACCCUGAUCCAGCCAUGCCGCGUGAGUGAUGAAGGCCUUAGGGUCGUAAAGCUCUUUUCGCCCUGUGAAGAUAAUGACCG